Non-coding RNA from Paenibacillus sp. Y412MC10, 117 nucleotides. NCBI's taxonomy places the organism in Bacteria, Bacillati, Bacillota, Bacilli, Caryophanales, Paenibacillaceae. The record is from Rfam.
UUUGGUGGCGAUGGCGGAAGGGUUCCACGCGUUCCCAUACCGAACACGACCGUUAAGCCUUCCAGCGCCGAUGGUACUUGGACCGAAGGGUCCCGGGAGAGUAGGACGUCGCCAAGC